RNAcentral lists this transfer RNA (72 nucleotides) under Camelus bactrianus (Bactrian camel). It matches the Rfam family "tRNA". Rfam says of the family: Transfer RNA (tRNA) molecules are approximately 80 nucleotides in length. The record is from Rfam by way of RNAcentral. RNAcentral also lists the same sequence under 1 other name. Lineage: Eukaryota; Metazoa; Chordata; Mammalia; Artiodactyla; Camelidae.
GGGAGUAUAGCUCAGUGGUAGAGUGUGUGCUUAGCACGCCCAAGACCUUGGGUUCAAUCCCCAGGACCUCCA